GCGUUAUAGCUUACUAAGAUGUUCGGCC
RNAcentral lists this small RNA (28 nucleotides) under Bombyx mori (domestic silkworm). Its description in RNAcentral is "ovarian small RNA-17031". The record is from RNAcentral. Lineage: Eukaryota; Metazoa; Arthropoda; Insecta; Lepidoptera; Bombycidae.